Long non-coding RNA from Drosophila rhopaloa, 439 nucleotides. RefSeq lists it as uncharacterized. The record is from RefSeq and is a predicted model, not a curated record. The transcript is spliced from 2 exons. NCBI's taxonomy places the organism in Eukaryota, Metazoa, Arthropoda, Insecta, Diptera, Drosophilidae.
UUCCCGAAGUCAGCGCGAACGGACUGCACGUACUGUGGCAGCUUAGAAUGCAGUGAAAAUUGCUAGUAAAAACAGGGGACAGCAUGUGCGGGCAACUCCAACCAACCCAUUAACUGCAAAAAGUGCGCGAUCCAUUUGAUUUUUCGAUUUAACUCGCCGCGAGCAACAAAGUUGUGGAUUUUUUCGCACUGAAAAAUUCUCGGCUUACGCCCGUCUAUGUGUGUGAGUGUGUAUCUGCAUCUGUGUAAAGGGCGCAGCUUGGCGAAAAACAACACCCAGCAACGUAAAACUCAACGGGUUUUCUUUGUUUUUUGAGCAACUUGGAGCGCUGAAAAUUCAAUAAGCACGUAAAUUCCAGCACACACACAUACCACCUUAACCGCGCACGCACACCGAUUCAACGCUGCCGAGCUGGACGACAGAGAGAAAGAGAGACAAG